Molecule: ribosomal RNA, 253 nt
Filed under: uncultured bacterium
Lineage: Bacteria
Description: partial 16S ribosomal RNA
Rfam family: Bacterial small subunit ribosomal RNA
Source: RNAcentral
UACGGGGGGGGCAAGCGUUGUUCGGAAUUACUGGGCGUAAAGGGCUCGUAGGUGGCCAACUAAGUCAGACGUGAAAUCCCUCAGCUUAACUGGGGAACUGCGUCUGAUACUGGAUGGCUUGAGUUUGGGAGAGGGAUGCGGAAUUCCAGGUGUAGCGGUGAAAUGCGUAGAUAUCGGAAGGAACGCCGGCGGCGAAAGCGACGUGCUGGACCUCUACUGACGCUGAGGCGCGAAAGCCAGGGGAGCAAACGGG